Molecule: ribosomal RNA, 524 nt
Filed under: uncultured bacterium
Lineage: Bacteria
Description: bacterial SSU rRNA
Rfam family: Bacterial small subunit ribosomal RNA
Source: RNAcentral
CAGUCGAACGGCAGCGCGGGGAGCUUGCUCCCUGGCGGCGAGUGGCGGACGGGUGAGUAACGCGUAGGAAUCUGCCCAGUAGUGGGGGACAACCCGGGGAAACUCGGGCUAAUACCGCAUACGCCCUAUGGGGGAAAACGGGGGACCUUCGGGCCUCGUGCUAUUGGAUGAGCCUGCGUCGGAUUAGCUUGUUGGUGAGGUAACGGCUCACCAAGGCGACGAUCCGUAGCUGGUCUGAGAGGACGACCAGCCACACUGGGACUGAGACACGGCCCAGACUCCUACGGGAGGCAGCAGUGGGGAAUAUUGGACAAUGGGGGAAACCCUGAUCCAGCGAUGCCGCGUGUGUGAAGACGGCUUUCGGGUUGUAAAGCACUUUCAGUGGGGAAGAAAAGCGGACCGCUAACAUCGGUUCGAUAUGACGUUACCCACAGAAGAAGCACCGGCUAACUCCGUGCCAGCAGCCGCGGUAAUACGGAGGGUGCGAGCGUUAAUCGGAAUUACUGGGCGUAAAGGGCGCGUAG